This 237-nucleotide ribosomal RNA is filed under the name uncultured microorganism. RNAcentral's name for it is "partial 16S ribosomal RNA". It matches the Rfam family "Bacterial small subunit ribosomal RNA", at positions 9 to 240 of the family's 1533-position model. The record is from RNAcentral.
GAGUUUGAUCCUGGCUCAGAUUGAACGCUGGCGGCAUGCCUAACACAUGCAAGUCGAACGGCAGCACUGGGAGCUUGCUCCCUGGUGGCGAGUGGCGGACGGGUGAGUAACGCGUAGGAAUCUGCCUCAUAGCGGGGGACGAACUCGGGAAACGUCGAGCUAAUACCGCAUACUACUCGAGAGAGGAAAGCAGGGGACCGUUCGGGCCGUUGCACUAUGAGAUGAGCCUGCGUUGGA